RNAcentral lists this microRNA (22 nucleotides) under Sarcophilus harrisii (Tasmanian devil). RNAcentral's name for it is "Sha-Mir-7371-P11d_5p (mature (co-guide))". Lineage: Eukaryota; Metazoa; Chordata; Mammalia; Dasyuromorphia; Dasyuridae. The record is from RNAcentral. RNAcentral also lists the same sequence under 1 other name.
UACGUGGAUAAGGCAUUCUAUU